This 1542-nucleotide ribosomal RNA is filed under the name Salmonella enterica. RNAcentral's name for it is "bacterial SSU rRNA". It matches the Rfam family "Bacterial small subunit ribosomal RNA". RNAcentral also lists the same sequence under 30 other names. Lineage: Bacteria; Pseudomonadati; Pseudomonadota; Gammaproteobacteria; Enterobacterales; Enterobacteriaceae. The record is from RNAcentral.
AAAUUGAAGAGUUUGAUCAUGGCUCAGAUUGAACGCUGGCGGCAGGCCUAACACAUGCAAGUCGAACGGUAACAGGAAGCAGCUUGCUGCUUCGCUGACGAGUGGCGGACGGGUGAGUAAUGUCUGGGAAACUGCCUGAUGGAGGGGGAUAACUACUGGAAACGGUGGCUAAUACCGCAUAACGUCGCAAGACCAAAGAGGGGGACCUUCGGGCCUCUUGCCAUCAGAUGUGCCCAGAUGGGAUUAGCUUGUUGGUGAGGUAACGGCUCACCAAGGCGACGAUCCCUAGCUGGUCUGAGAGGAUGACCAGCCACACUGGAACUGAGACACGGUCCAGACUCCUACGGGAGGCAGCAGUGGGGAAUAUUGCACAAUGGGCGCAAGCCUGAUGCAGCCAUGCCGCGUGUAUGAAGAAGGCCUUCGGGUUGUAAAGUACUUUCAGCGGGGAGGAAGGUGUUGUGGUUAAUAACCGCAGCAAUUGACGUUACCCGCAGAAGAAGCACCGGCUAACUCCGUGCCAGCAGCCGCGGUAAUACGGAGGGUGCAAGCGUUAAUCGGAAUUACUGGGCGUAAAGCGCACGCAGGCGGUCUGUCAAGUCGGAUGUGAAAUCCCCGGGCUCAACCUGGGAACUGCAUUCGAAACUGGCAGGCUUGAGUCUUGUAGAGGGGGGUAGAAUUCCAGGUGUAGCGGUGAAAUGCGUAGAGAUCUGGAGGAAUACCGGUGGCGAAGGCGGCCCCCUGGACAAAGACUGACGCUCAGGUGCGAAAGCGUGGGGAGCAAACAGGAUUAGAUACCCUGGUAGUCCACGCCGUAAACGAUGUCUACUUGGAGGUUGUGCCCUUGAGGCGUGGCUUCCGGAGCUAACGCGUUAAGUAGACCGCCUGGGGAGUACGGCCGCAAGGUUAAAACUCAAAUGAAUUGACGGGGGCCCGCACAAGCGGUGGAGCAUGUGGUUUAAUUCGAUGCAACGCGAAGAACCUUACCUGGUCUUGACAUCCACGGAAGUUUUCAGAGAUGAGAAUGUGCCUUCGGGAACCGUGAGACAGGUGCUGCAUGGCUGUCGUCAGCUCGUGUUGUGAAAUGUUGGGUUAAGUCCCGCAACGAGCGCAACCCUUAUCCUUUGUUGCCAGCGAUUAGGUCGGGAACUCAAAGGAGACUGCCAGUGAUAAACUGGAGGAAGGUGGGGAUGACGUCAAGUCAUCAUGGCCCUUACGACCAGGGCUACACACGUGCUACAAUGGCGCAUACAAAGAGAAGCGACCUCGCGAGAGCAAGCGGACCUCAUAAAGUGCGUCGUAGUCCGGAUUGGAGUCUGCAACUCGACUCCAUGAAGUCGGAAUCGCUAGUAAUCGUGGAUCAGAAUGCCACGGUGAAUACGUUCCCGGGCCUUGUACACACCGCCCGUCACACCAUGGGAGUGGGUUGCAAAAGAAGUAGGUAGCUUAACCUUCGGGAGGGCGCUUACCACUUUGUGAUUCAUGACUGGGGUGAAGUCGUAACAAGGUAACCGUAGGGGAACCUGCGGUUGGAUCACCUCCUUA